This 277-nucleotide ribosomal RNA is filed under the name uncultured bacterium. RNAcentral's name for it is "partial 16S ribosomal RNA". It matches the Rfam family "Bacterial small subunit ribosomal RNA", at positions 524 to 796 of the family's 1533-position model. The record is from RNAcentral.
UACGUAGGUCCCGAGCGUUGUCCGGAUUUAUUGGGGCGUAAAAGCGAGCGCAGGCGGUUAGAUAAGUCUGAAGUUAAAAGGCUGUGGCUUAACCAUAGUACGCUUUGGAAACUGUUUAACUUGAGUGCAAGAGGGGAGAGUGGAAUUCCAUGUGUAGCGGUGAAAUGCGUAGAUAUAUGGAGGAACACCGGUGGCGAAAAGCGGCUCUCUGGCUUGUAACUGACGCUGAGGCUCGAAAAGCGUGGGGGAGCAAAACAGGAUUAGAUACGCGUAGUCC